This 497-nucleotide ribosomal RNA is filed under the name uncultured bacterium. Its description in RNAcentral is "partial 16S ribosomal RNA". It matches the Rfam family "Bacterial small subunit ribosomal RNA", at positions 28 to 507 of the family's 1533-position model. The record is from RNAcentral.
GAUGAACGCUGGCGGCGUGCCUAAUACAUGCAAGUCGAGCGAACAGACGAGGAGCUUGCUCCUCUGACGUUAGCGGCGGACGGGUGAGUAACACGUGGAUAACCUACCUAUAAGACUGGGAUAACUUCGGGAAACCGGAGCUAAUACCGGAUAAUAUAUUGAACCGCAUGGUUCAAUAGUGAAAGACGGUUUUGCUGUCACUUAUAGAUGGAUCCGCGCCGCAUUAGCUAGUUGGUAAGGUAACGGCUUACCAAGGCGACGAUGCGUAGCCGACCUGAGAGGGUGAUCGGCCACACUGGAACUGAGACACGGUCCAGACUCCUACGGGAGGCAGCAGUGGGGAAUCUUGCGCAAUGGGCGAAAGCCUGACGGAGCAACGCCGCGUGUGUGAUGAAGGUCUUCGGAUCGUAAAGCUCUGUUAUUAGGGAAGAACAAAUGUGUAAGUAACUAUGCACGUCUUGACGGUACCUGAUCAGAAAGCCACGGCUAACUACGUG